This is a long non-coding RNA of Planococcus citri (citrus mealybug), 373 nucleotides long. RefSeq lists it as uncharacterized. The transcript is spliced from 2 exons. The record is from RefSeq and is a predicted model, not a curated record. Lineage: Eukaryota; Metazoa; Arthropoda; Insecta; Hemiptera; Pseudococcidae.
AGUGCUGCGAUAAAAUUUAUUCAUUUUGAAAAAAAAUUCACUUCAUUCAGUUCGGUGUAAUUUUCCAAGCUAGUUGUUCACGAGUAAAUGUGUAAAAAGCUAGAGGAUUAGAAUCACAUAAACCGAACCAUUGAGCAUAUUUCAGUAUGAAUACAAUAGUUUUCAAAAUGUUACUUUUUUUUAUGGUAAUAAUUGCCAUGGUCUUGGCUUAUAAAGGAGAAAUAUCGAAAGUUGGAGAUAAAGUGGAUGAUAGUUCCAAGGAUCCAAGAGCUCUGAAUCAAGGAGGUUUUUUUUAAUCGACAAAAACCAAAUAACAAUGAGCUUAAAAUUGUUUUUCGUUGAUGACAUUUCACAAUAAAAAUUUCCAAUAAUA